AUUCAGAGAGAAUUUCUGUGCAGAAGAAAACACUAAGCAUCUACAGAGGCCUGCCCUGGUGACUUCUGACAGACUCAGUUUCCCCAUCUGAUCACUCCAGAUUUGCCUGGGCCUGGUAAGGCACAUGCUGAGUAAAUUUAGUAACUUGGAAUGAUCAGGUUUUCUUUUGCUAAGGCAUUCCUGAGGAGGCCUUACAGACUGUGGUGCCUGUUCUUGGUUGUCAGCCUAACAUUUAGAAAGCACUAAAACAUGAAUGGCUGGACAGACCUGUGAAGGAGUUUUUCUUAACUAAAUCAUUUGAAGUGGGAGGAGCCACAUUUAUUUAUUAUUUAUCUUUGAGUUCAGAAGACCUACGGGCCCCACCUUCUGCUGGGAGUCUGUAUAAGGACAUGAAAAGAGGAAGCAUUUGCUCUUUACCUGCUGGCAAGUCCAUUCCUUAGUGGCAUCGGAGCUGACUUCGAGAUUCCAGUGUACGCUGAAGACCAGCUUUGAUAUGCAGUUCCAUGGACUGAGCAACUACUGGAUUCUUGGACCUUCUGUUGGUAGACAGCUGUUGUGGAGUAGCUGGACCACAGCCUUCAGUCAUCUUCCUGGGCCCCAAAACAAUGGAGAUAUGUUUACUUCUUCCUUAAGAGAGAUUCCAGUGGACUGCACAGAGAUGGAGUUUUCACUCCUUAAAACCCCGAGGAUAUGUAGCACCUAUCACAUUUUCUAGAGGGCUAGAGAUAUCUCCAGAAUGUAGUAGAUAUUUGUUCUAUAAUAAAGUUUUUU
Molecule: long non-coding RNA, 771 nt
Organism: Apodemus sylvaticus (European woodmouse)
Lineage: Eukaryota; Metazoa; Chordata; Mammalia; Rodentia; Muridae
Exons: 3
Source: RefSeq, a predicted model, not a curated record